Molecule: long non-coding RNA, 243 nt
Organism: Dermochelys coriacea (leatherback sea turtle)
Lineage: Eukaryota; Metazoa; Chordata; Testudines; Dermochelyidae
Exons: 3
Source: RefSeq, a predicted model, not a curated record
UGAUUAGGCUACUGCAGUGGUUCCCAAACAGGGGUUCACAAACCCCUGGGAGUUCGCAGAACGUUACAGGGGGUUCACCAGAAAAAUUUCACUAAUGGCGGCCAGAGGACCCUGGGCAUUGGAGGCAGCAGGUGGGACCCGGUUGCAGGGCAGACAGCCUGAGCCCUAGGGAGAGCGGGGUAGGGCAGUUGGGGCUGGCAGCUCAAGCCCUGCCUCCGUGAUCGGGGGAGCCGGCUGCCCAAA